AUGGAUAUGGAACACAAAAUACCAAAAAAAUUAGGUGUACUUGCUACUCAUGAGGAUGGGGUAACUCCUAAAACCCUCGAUUCUCAUCAUGAGAAAAAUAUUUUGUACUACUUUGAUAAUCCUGAGAAAACCCCAUUCAACUUUAUAAUGGGAGUAACGUUGGAUCAACGUGAAUACUUUAGGGAUUAUCGCUCGACACAAAAAGGGAAACUAUUAUGGGAUCAAAUUAAUAUGUUGAAGUGGUAUGAUAGAAAACUAUGCUCGGAAUAUGAUUAUACUUGUUGCUCUAGGAUGAAUACUCCACACCUCCCUUUUUCAUGCAAAUUUAAUGAUAAUGAAACCUUGGCUUCUUAUGCUAGAGGUAUAUAUGAUUACUAUGAUGUGGAACAAAUAGAAGAAUUUGUUGCUUUUAUGGGUGCUUAUGAAAUUGAAUCCAUGUUUAAAGAGUUUGAGGAUUUUGAUGAUGCUUGUUAUAGAUCUGAAAAUUUAGCUAUCCUUAAAUAUUGUUAUGAGAAUUAUGAAUAUAAUGCCUAUAUUAAUGCACUUAUUAAGAAAGUCUCCGCUGUCCAAGAAGAGACUAAUAUUUUGCAGGAAUCUAUGGAAGAAGAAAUUGAUGAAACUAUGAGCUCAUUGGAUGAAAAAUAUGAGGAGGAAAGCGAAGAACAAAAGGAGGAAGAGCGGAUUGAUCACCCGUGCCCACCUUCUAAUGAGAGUAACUCUUCAACUCAUACAUUGUUUAAUUCACCUUCGUGCUUACCGAAGGAUGAUUGGUAUGAUCCCGUUGAUUCUCUUGAAAUAUCCUUUUUUGAUGAUGCUUGCUAUGCUUGUGGCCAAGAUGCCAAUAUGAAUUAUGCUUAUGGAGAUGAACUUGCUAUAGUUCCUUAUGUUAAAGAUGAAAUUGUUGCUAUUGCACCCAUGCAUGAUAGUCCUAUUAUCUUUUUGAAUUCUCCCAACUACACUAUAUUGGAGAAAUUUGUGCUUAUUAAGGAUCAUAUUGAUGGGUUGCCUUUUACCAUUGCACAUGAUGAUUUUGAUGAAUAUAAUAUGCAUGUGCUUUUUGCUCCUACUUGCAAUUAUUAUGAGAGAGGAACUAUACCUCCACCUCUCUAUGUUUCUCAUACGAUAGAAUUGCAAGAAAUUGCUUAUACUAUGCAUUGGCCUUUACUUGGUGUGCAUGAAUUGUUCUUUUAUGACAUGCCAAUGCAUAGGAAGAGAGUUAGACUUUGUUGUUGCAUGAUAUAUGUUACUUUGUGCUCACUACUAAAUGACAAAUCAUUGUUAAUUAAAAUUGACUUUGAUAUACCUUGGGAUCCAGGUGGAUUCAUUACUUGA
RNAcentral lists this ribosomal RNA (1332 nucleotides) under Triticum aestivum (bread wheat). Its description in RNAcentral is "partial small subunit ribosomal RNA". Lineage: Eukaryota; Viridiplantae; Streptophyta; Magnoliopsida; Poales; Poaceae. The record is from RNAcentral.